Molecule: ribosomal RNA, 525 nt
Filed under: Triticum aestivum (bread wheat)
Lineage: Eukaryota; Viridiplantae; Streptophyta; Magnoliopsida; Poales; Poaceae
Description: partial small subunit ribosomal RNA
Source: RNAcentral
AUGGAAUAUACCAGAACUCUACCUGGCUAUGGUUGGAGAUCACCGGGUCCAGACUACAUCAAGAUCAACACGGAUGGUAGCGUCUCUCCGACUGAAAACAGAAGCGGGGCGGGUGGUGUUGCACGAACCUCCUCCGACUUCAUUGCUGCCUGGAGCAAGCCACAUGAGAACAUCACAGAUCCACUAAUCGCAGAAGCGCUGGCCCUGCGAGAUGGUGUCAUCUUCGGCAAGCUUCGGGGUUUUUCGCGGGUGAUCUUCAAGGUCGACUGCUUGGAGCUGGUUCAGCUCUGGAACUCGCGACAGUUCUCGUGCUCUCUUAUAGCGCCUAUUCUCCUUGAAAUUGGAGGGCUAGCCUCAUCGUUUGUUUACUUUGACAUUCUUCAUGUAAUGAGACAAUCUAACACAUCAGCUCACCUGUGUGUGAAACAUGCAAGCACUCUAGGUGUGUCUGACUGUUGGAUGAACUCCCCUGGUUUCCUCGUGACCAGCCUCAUGGCUGAUCGCGCUGGUGAUGUUAGUGAAUGA